GCUCUCUGGAGAAUCCCGUUUGCGGGUGCCGAAGGUGUAAGUGGAUCUGGAUCCAUGAAUCUCUCAGGCAAAAGGACAGUGUA
RNAcentral lists this non-coding RNA (83 nucleotides) under human gut metagenome. Its description in RNAcentral is "Glycine riboswitch". The stretch from base 6 to 79 matches the Rfam family "Glycine riboswitch aptamer", at positions 11 to 84 of the family's 94-position model. Rfam says of the family: This family represents the bacterial glycine riboswitch. The record is from RNAcentral.